GAUGAACGCUGGCGGCGUGCUUAACACAUGCAAGUCGAACGGUGAACACGGAGCUUGCUCAGUGGGAUCAGUGGCGAACGGGUGAGUAACACGUGAGCAACCUGCCCCUGACUCUGGGAUAAGCGCUGGAAACGGCGUCUAAUACUGGAUACGAGACGUGAUCGCAUGGUCAACGUCUGGAAAGAAUUUCGGUUGGGGAUGGGCUCGCGGCCUAUCAGCUUGUUGGUGAGGUAAUGGCUCACCAAGGCGUCGACGGGUAGCCGGCCUGAGAGGGUGACCGGCCACACUGGGACUGAGACACAGCCCAGACUCCUACGGGAGGCAGCAGUGGGGAAUAUUGCACAAUGGGCGCAAGCCUGAUGCAGCAACGCCGCGUGAGGGAUGACGGCCUUCGGGUUGUAAACCUCUUUUAGCAGGGAAGAAGCGAAAGUGACGGUACCUGCAGAAAAAGCGCCGGCUAACUACGUGCCAGCCGCCGCGGUAA
RNAcentral lists this ribosomal RNA (484 nucleotides) under uncultured bacterium. Its description in RNAcentral is "partial 16S ribosomal RNA". It matches the Rfam family "Bacterial small subunit ribosomal RNA", at positions 28 to 523 of the family's 1533-position model. The record is from RNAcentral.